This 253-nucleotide ribosomal RNA is filed under the name uncultured bacterium. RNAcentral describes it as "partial 16S ribosomal RNA". It matches the Rfam family "Bacterial small subunit ribosomal RNA", at positions 524 to 776 of the family's 1533-position model. The record is from RNAcentral.
UACGUAGGGACCGAGCGUUGUCCGGAAUCAUUGGGCGUAAAGAGCGUGUAGGCGGCUUUACAGGUCCGUUGUGAAAACUCGAGGCUCAACCUCGAGACGCCGGUGGAAACCGUAAAGCUAGAGUCCGGAAGAGGAGAGUGGAAUUCCUGGUGUAGCGGUGAAAUGCGCAGAUAUCAGGAAGAACACCCGUGGCGAAGGCGGCUCUCUGGGACGGUACUGACGCUGAGACGCGAAAGCGUGGGGAGCGAACAGG